Molecule: ribosomal RNA, 252 nt
Filed under: uncultured bacterium
Lineage: Bacteria
Description: partial 16S ribosomal RNA
Rfam family: Bacterial small subunit ribosomal RNA
Source: RNAcentral
UACGGAGGAUGCGAGCGUUAUCCGGAUUUAUUGGGUUUAAAGGGUGCGUAGGCGGGCUUUUAAGUCAGCGGUAAAAAUUCGGGGCUCAACCCCGUCCGGCCGUUGAAACUGGGGGCCUUGAGUGGGCGAGAAGAAGGCGGAAUGCGUGGUGUAGCGGGGAAAUGCAUAGAUAUCACGCAGAACCCCGAUUGCGAAGGCAGCCUUCCGGCGCCCUACUGACGCUGAGGCACGAAAGUGCGGGGAUCGAACAGG